GUGAAUCAUCGAAUCUUUGAACGCAAAUUGCACUUUCUGGUAUUCCGGAAAGUAUGCCUGUUUGAGGGUCAGUUAAAUAAACAUCGUUUUGGUUGCUGCUGGGCGUGGUUACGCUUCGGAAUUGACCUGUUUUACCUUCUGUUAAGUGACUUAAUAUUUUGGAUGAUUUUCGAACGUAUUUAAAUUUCUUACGUACGUUUGAGAUACCGAAUACUUUAUUAGUUUCUGUCAUUC
Molecule: unclassified non-coding RNA, 234 nt
Filed under: Glomus sp.
Lineage: Eukaryota; Fungi; Glomeromycota; Glomeromycetes; Glomerales; Glomeraceae
Description: partial contains 5.8S ribosomal RNA and internal transcribed spacer 2
Rfam family: 5.8S ribosomal RNA (bases 1-71)
Source: RNAcentral